RNAcentral lists this ribosomal RNA (217 nucleotides) under uncultured bacterium. Its description in RNAcentral is "partial 16S ribosomal RNA". It matches the Rfam family "Bacterial small subunit ribosomal RNA", at positions 328 to 539 of the family's 1533-position model. The record is from RNAcentral.
ACGCUCGACACCUACGGAGGCAGCAGUGAGGAAUAUUGGUCAAUGGGCGCUAGCCUGAACCAGCCAAGUAGCGUGAAGGAUGAAGGCUCUAUGGGUCGUAAACUUCUUUUAUAUAAGAAUAAAGUGCAGUAUGUAUACUGUUUUGUAUGUAUUAUAUGAAUAAGGAUCGGCUAACUCCGUGCCAGUAGCCGCGGUAAUCUGAGCGGGCUGGCAAGGC